UUUCCGUAGGUGAACCUGCGGAAGGAUCAUUCACAAUAAGUGUUUUCUGGCACUCUUUAAACAAUCCAUUUCCAUCUUUUAUGCAAGGUUAUGCGACCCGCUAUCGUUAUCUUUUAGGUUACGGAAGGGGGGACCUCUACAACCUACCAACAUCCCUUUUAACUUAUUUGUCUAAACAUUAGUUAUCACGAAUUAUCUUAAUUCGAAAGUACAACUUUCAACAACGGAUCUCUUGGCUCUG
RNAcentral lists this unclassified non-coding RNA (241 nucleotides) under plant metagenome. Its description in RNAcentral is "partial contains small subunit ribosomal RNA, internal transcribed spacer 1, and 5.8S ribosomal RNA". The record is from RNAcentral.